GAGUUAUAAAGGAAGUUCUGUUCAAAAAUUGUGAGCACCAUUACAAGGGUUGGUUAGUCCCAAUGUUUGAUCCAGGAGUUGUCUUGUCUUCUGGGUUGGAUUCAAAAUUUACAAGAAAACGCAGUAAAGCAUUGAUGGUUGUAAAUCUGAAACUGGGUUGACUUCUCAAUGCUUAGUUAUAAAAUAAAAUAUGAAGUUGUACUAAAGAUAAAUGUGUUGAGUUCAUACUAUCUUUAUUGGGAGAAGAGGAUUGUACCAUUCUUUUACUCAAUGCUGUACAAAUCUCAGAAUCCCUUUAACACUAAAUUUUUCAGCUACAGAUUCAUUGGAGAUCAUGGCUUUUCUUUGAUCUUGGCAUUGAAUAUGAAUGUCCUCAUAUUUUUGAAAUCCAUACAAUUUUCUAACCAUUUUAAUGAAAGCAAUAUUAAAAAAAAUAUGUUAAGUUAUAUUAUUCAGAAGGUGUAGAAGUAAUUAUAGUAAAACAUUGUUUGCACACAUUUUUAAGAAUUACUAUAAAAUAACAGAAAUUGAUUAUAUGAUGACCUCAUAGGUUAAAAAGUGAUUAAUCCAUUUUGCUCAAGUAAUGUUCUGCAAUUUCUAAACAAUUAAGUUUUCCUUGCAGAAAUAUGUUGCAAUAAAUAUAUAUCUUAGGAAAAUAUAAAUCUGCUUUACCUCUAAACUAUUAUUACUUUUUACAACAGGGUCCACACAUAAUCAGUUUGUAGCAAAAUAAUAAAUAUCUCUUAUUAAUUUCCAGACUUAAUCUGAAACAGAAGCAACUGUGUCAUUUGAAGCUUCUAAAUUAUGUUGACAGGCUAACUACUUAUAAGUGAUUUAGAUAUGGUUUUUUAUCAGUGGCAUGAACAAAAACUUAGAGAGCCUGACUGGUGUGAAAAUGAAUUUGACAAGAAAACAGUGAAAAGAAACGAAGGUUAUCCACAAGAUAGCCAGAUCUAUCACAGAUGGAGAUUCGUGGUGUUCGAUUGAUGUCAGAUGAAGAAAAUGAAGGGUUGAUGUACAACAGGCUGUAGUGCUUAGCCGGAGCAAUUUCAAGAAGAUUUGUUCCUGACACUGCUGCGCCUACUCCAUCACUUACAGCUAAAGAAUGGCUGAAUG
Parasteatoda tepidariorum (common house spider) is the source of this 1116-nucleotide non-coding RNA. The record is from RefSeq and is a predicted model, not a curated record. Lineage: Eukaryota; Metazoa; Arthropoda; Arachnida; Araneae; Theridiidae.